RNAcentral lists this long non-coding RNA (533 nucleotides) under Helianthus annuus (common sunflower). Its description in RNAcentral is "hypothetical non coding rna". Lineage: Eukaryota; Viridiplantae; Streptophyta; Magnoliopsida; Asterales; Asteraceae. The record is from RNAcentral.
AUAAUUCCAUUGAACCUUUCUUUUUCUUCAUCUUUUUCCUUAACGAGCUCCUUGAUAACUAAGUUUAACUGUUCCAUUUGGUGCGGUACAUUCGGUUGCUAGACUGUCAUGACUUUGUUUUCACCGGUGUCGUCCAUCCAGACUUUAAAGAAUGUGACACUGAUUCUUCUAGUUGGAGAUUAACAAGUGACGUGGCGUGCCAUGUCGGCGCUGUUUCCUCUCAUCACUAAAAGUGAUCUGUUUAAUUACAAAACUUAAUAUCAGUAACCGAUAUAUGAAACUUAAACAUGUAACAUUUCAUGAUCAAAAUAAGCUUACCCUUUAUUUAGGGAAAGCAUGAGUGGUCCUUUGUAGUUUCCAUCAUCAUUGCAUACUAAAGUGCGCCCAAACGCCAUUGUUGAUACAGAAAGAAGCAGAGUGGAGAUUGGUUGUUCCAGAUGAGAAAUCAGAUGAAACUGAAUCACAUGGUCAAUGACAUCUUCAAGAGGAGCUGGGAUCAGCUCGAUUUGGCCUAUACGCAUAUCGAUAAUUAG